UGGGGAAUUUUGCGCAAUGGUGGAAACCCUGACGCAGCAACGCCGCGUGAGUGAUGAAGGCUUUCGGGUCGUAAAGCUCUGUCAGUGGGGAAGAAAUGGGAGUCGCUAAUAUCGGCUUUCCUUGACGGUACCCACAAAGGAAGCACCGGCUAACUCCGUGCCAGCAGCCGCGGUAAUACGGAGGGUGCAAGCGUUGUUCGGAUUUAUUGGGCGUAAAGCGCGUGUAGGCGGUUUCUUAAGUCUGAUGUGAAAGCCCUGGGCUCAACCCAGGAAGUGCAUUGGAUACUGGGAGACUUGAAUACGGGAGAGGGUAGUGGAAUUCCUAGUGUAGGAGUGAAAUCCGUAGAUAUUAGGAGGAACACCGGUGGCGAAGGCGGCUACCUGGACCGAUAUUGACGCUGAGACGCGAAAGCGUGGGGAGCAAACA
RNAcentral lists this ribosomal RNA (427 nucleotides) under uncultured Geobacter sp. Its description in RNAcentral is "bacterial SSU rRNA". It matches the Rfam family "Bacterial small subunit ribosomal RNA", at positions 355 to 774 of the family's 1533-position model. The record is from RNAcentral. Lineage: Bacteria; Pseudomonadati; Thermodesulfobacteriota; Desulfuromonadia; Geobacterales; Geobacteraceae.